CCUACGGGCUGCAGCAGUGGGGAAUAUUGCACAAUGGGCGCAAGCCUGAUGCAGCCAUGCCGCGUGUAUGAAGAAGGCCUUAGGGUUGUAAAGUACUUUCAGUUGGGAGGAAGGCGUUGAUGCUAAUAUCAUCAACGAUUGACGUUACCAACAGAAGAAGCACCGGCCAACUCCGUGCCAGCAGCCGCGGUAAUACGGAGGGUGCAAGCGUUAAUCGGAAUUACUGGGCGUAAAGCGCACGCAGGCGGUUGACUAAGAUAGAUGUGAAAUCCCCGGGCUUAACCUGGGAAUGGCAUCUAAGACUGGUCAGCUAGAGUCUUGUAGAGGGGGGUAGAAUUCCAUGUGUAGCGGUGAAAUGCGUAGAGAUGUGGAGGAAUACCGGUGGCGGAGGCGGCCCCCUGGACAAAGACUGACGCUCAGGUGCGAGAGCGUGGGGAGCAAACAGGAUUAGAUACCCGAGUAGUC
Molecule: ribosomal RNA, 465 nt
Filed under: uncultured bacterium
Lineage: Bacteria
Description: bacterial SSU rRNA
Rfam family: Bacterial small subunit ribosomal RNA
Source: RNAcentral